RNAcentral lists this ribosomal RNA (440 nucleotides) under uncultured bacterium. RNAcentral describes it as "bacterial SSU rRNA". It matches the Rfam family "Bacterial small subunit ribosomal RNA", at positions 958 to 1398 of the family's 1533-position model. The record is from RNAcentral.
AACGCGAAGAACCUUACCUACUCUUGACAUCCUUAGAAGCCUGGAGAGAUUCGGGUGUGCCGAAAGGAACUAAGAGACAGGUGCUGCAUGGCUGUCGUCAGCUCGUGUCGUGAGAUGUUGGGUUAAGUCCCGUAACGAGCGCAACCCCUAUACUUAAUUGCGAACAGGUGAUGCUGAGCACUUUAAAUAGACUGCCGGUGAUAAACCGGAGGAAGGUGGGGAUGACGUCAAGUCAUCAUGCCCCUUACGUCCAGGGCUGCACACAUGCUACAAUGGCCGGUACAACGGGCUGCUAUUCCGCGAGGAGGAGCCAAUCCCCAAAGCCGGUCUCAGUUCGGAUCGCAGUCUGCAACUCGACUGCGUGAAGUCGGAGUCGCUAGUAAUCCCGGAUCAGCAACGCCGGGGUGAAUACGUUCCCGGGCCUUGUACACACCGCUGUA